UUUUAGCAGAUGGGGUUAGUUAUAUAUAACCUGACAAUUUUUUUUAAAAAUUUCUGUCCAGAAAGAGGAAAUCAGCUGGAAAAGGAAAAAUCACAUCAUUGAAAUUUUAAACUAAUAUUAAAAUUUAUUGAAAUAUCAUGCUUUUUUUCUCCUAGAAAACAACAGCAGCACACAGUAAUUGCAUGAAAUAGUACAAUUCUUUUCACCAAUUCAUUAAAAGUUACCUGGCAAAGGGAUUCCUAGAUAAGUGAUAAAUCAUUUGGGUCUAUUAAUCUACUACAGUGUAAUGUAUAUUGCUUGUCUCACUACAGGAGAUUAUCUCAUGCAGACUGAUAAGAUCUGGCACAUGCUUUAUAUUUAGAAACUCAUAACAAGAGAUCAACCAAUGAAAAUAAAGUCAGGGAACUACUUCUGGGGGCUGUACAUGUACCACAAAAAGUAAUCCAUAGUUUUUUUCUGUUUUAUAUCAGAGUAAUCUUCAAAAUUUAUGAGUAUGUGAUUGAAUGGAAUAAAAUCUUCCUCUAGUACAAAAAUAUUUUAACAUCAUAGAUGUAUCAUUACCUUCAUUAGCUGACUGUAAAUGGCACAUUUGCCCAAGAAUAUCAAAAUUUCAAAUCUACACAGGAAGUUCUUUGACAGAGAGCUGAAUAGAGUAAAUAUUUGGGAGAGUGUUUCCCUAAAUAUUUUACUAUGUGCAGCUUAUUUCAUCUUGGAAGUUAACAAUAAUUAACAGAAUGCACCAGGUAUAGCAUCAUAAGUGUAUAUAAAGUAUCAGCACACAUGAAUGAAUUGAGACAUGUUUAGUGAUCCAAUGUAUUGUGUUCAAAGGCUCCAUCCAACAUUUCAAAGACAUGUCAUAGCAGUGGAGCAAAUGGUGGCAAAUGAUGGCUUUGUGGUGGUUAGUGAAAAACUGUGGCAAUCUACAUUGGUGGUGGCAAACACUGACAGAAAAUUUCUGGACCAGCAGUGACAUUAAGUUGAAAAUAAUGACAUAUUUUACACUGUACUGAAGAUGUAAUUGCGAAAAUUACUCAAAAAAUAAUAUAUCUCAUUCAGUGAUUUGUUGCUGAAUGAAUCCUUGUUUGGAGUUCAGAUGCGAAGGAAUUGUAUCAUGAGAGCGCAACAUUACUGAAAGGAUUUUCUUCAAACUUUCACACGUGAACAAUCUUGACUGGUAGAUACAACUACAAUUACAUUGCAUUCAAAAUCAGUGGCACAGAAACUGAUUCUUGUUGGCCUGCGUUACUUAAGUAAAGGUGAUUUUUUUAUCAGAGACUGCAGAUAUUCAUGGCAUAAGCAAAGCUGGCGCAGCAGUUGCAGUUGAUGAAUUCGUAACUGCUCUGAACAGACGUGUGGAUAACAUAAGAUUCCCUUUGGAUGGACAAGAUCUGGGCAGUGUGAAACUGAAAUUCUUUCGGAAAUGUGGUUUGCCGAAUGUAGUUGGUGCCAUUGACGGUAUGUUUAGUGCCUAUCAUUUCACCGGUUAUGCACCCCGACAUCUUUAUGUGUAGGAAGGGCUACUAUGCACUCAAUGUCCAGGCGGUGGUGGACAGUGAUAUGAG
Molecule: long non-coding RNA, 1562 nt
Organism: Mercenaria mercenaria
Lineage: Eukaryota; Metazoa; Mollusca; Bivalvia; Venerida; Veneridae
Exons: 5
Source: RefSeq, a predicted model, not a curated record